GUUCGCCAUUUAAAGUGGUACGCGAGCUGGGUUUAGAACGUCGUGAGACAGUUCGGUCCCUAUCUGCCGUGGGCGCUGGAGAACUGAGGGGGGCUGCUCCUAGUACGAGAGGACCGGAGUGGACGCAUCACUGGUGUUCGGGUUGUCAUGCCAAUGGCACUGCCCGGUAGCUAAAUGCGGAAGAGAUAAGUGCUGAAAGCAUCUAAGCACGAAACUUGCCCCGAGAUGAGUUCUCCCUGAGACUUUAGGUCUCCUGAAGGAACGUUGAAGACGACGACGUUGAUAGGCCGGGUGUGUAAGCGCAGCGAUGCGUUGAGCUAACCGGUACUAAUGAACCGUGAGGCUUAACCUUAC
This 354-nucleotide ribosomal RNA is filed under the name Salmonella enterica subsp. enterica serovar Agona str. 400095 14. RNAcentral describes it as "bacterial LSU rRNA". It matches the Rfam family "Bacterial large subunit ribosomal RNA", at positions 2579 to 2925 of the family's 2925-position model. The record is from RNAcentral. Lineage: Bacteria; Pseudomonadati; Pseudomonadota; Gammaproteobacteria; Enterobacterales; Enterobacteriaceae.